UAAAACCAAUUGCAAUAAUCUUAUGUCUACUCGAAUUCAUGGAUAUAGAUAUUACUAAUGAGAAAAAAAUGAUGUUAAGGUUGUUGGGCAAAGAGAUCAAUAUGACAUUGUAUCUAUAAGCUAUAGGGUAACCCAUAUCAGAAAGCGUCAUCCAUUUCUCACGACCCUGAACACCUAAUUUAGUUACUCAUAACAAACUUCUAACUUUAGAGACUAUGUUAUAUACCAUAUUAAAAUACAAUUGAUGAUGUUGAUAAACUUCAUCAUCUA
RNAcentral lists this long non-coding RNA (270 nucleotides) under Lathyrus oleraceus (garden pea). Its description in RNAcentral is "Pisum sativum (pea) long non-coding RNA (PSAT_LNC011002)". Lineage: Eukaryota; Viridiplantae; Streptophyta; Magnoliopsida; Fabales; Fabaceae. The record is from RNAcentral.